GAUGAACGCUGGCGGCGUGCCUAAUACAUGCAAGUCGAGCGAACAGAUGAGGAGCUUGCUCCUCUGACGUUAGCGGCGGACGGGUGAGUAACACGUGGAUAACCUACCUAUAAGACUGGGAUAACUUCGGGAAACCGGAGCUAAUACCGGAUAAUAUAUUGAACCGCAUGGUUCAAUAGUGAAAGACGGUUUUGCUGUCACUUAUAGAUGGAUCCGCGCCGCAUUAGCUAGUUGGUAAGGUAACGGCUUACCAAGGCAACGAUGCGUAGCCGACCUGAGAGGGGGAUCGGCCACACUGGAACUGAGAAACGGUCCAGACUCCUACGGGAGGCAGCAGUAGGGAAUCUUCCGCAAUGGGCGAAAGCCUGACGGAGCAACGCCGCGUGAGUGAUGAAGGUCUUCGGAUCGUAAAACUCUGUUAUUAGGGAAGAACAAAUGUGUAAGUAACUAUGCACGUCUUGACGGUACCUAAUCAGAAAGCCACGGCUAACUACGUG
This 497-nucleotide ribosomal RNA is filed under the name uncultured bacterium. RNAcentral's name for it is "partial 16S ribosomal RNA". It matches the Rfam family "Bacterial small subunit ribosomal RNA", at positions 28 to 507 of the family's 1533-position model. The record is from RNAcentral.